Molecule: ribosomal RNA, 292 nt
Filed under: uncultured bacterium
Lineage: Bacteria
Description: partial 16S ribosomal RNA
Rfam family: Bacterial small subunit ribosomal RNA
Source: RNAcentral
GUGUCAGCAGCCGCGGUAAGACGUAGGUGGCGAGCGUUAUCCGGAUUUACUGGGCGUAAAGCGCGUGCAGGUGGUUUGAUAAGUCGGGCGUGAAAUCUCCUGGCUCAACUGGGAGAGGCCGUCCGAUACUAUCAGACUUGAGGGCAGUAGAGGGAGGUGGAAUUCCGGGUGUAGUGGUGAAAUGCGUAGAUAUCCGGAGGAACACCGGUGGCGAAGGCGGCCUCCUGGACUGCCCCUGACACUCAGACGCGAAAGCUAGGGGAGCGAACGGGAUUAGAUACCCUCGUAGUCC